GUGCUUGAGGUGUAAAUGGUCGCACGACACCUUGCCAAGGUGUAGGAAGCCGGUUCGAUCCCGGUCAGGCACU
This 73-nucleotide transfer RNA is filed under the name Mycobacterium phage Myrna. It matches the Rfam family "tRNA". Rfam says of the family: Transfer RNA (tRNA) molecules are approximately 80 nucleotides in length. Their secondary structure includes four short double-helical elements and three loops (D, anti-codon, and T loops). Lineage: Duplodnaviria; Heunggongvirae; Uroviricota; Caudoviricetes. The record is from Rfam by way of RNAcentral.